Molecule: small RNA, 66 nt
Filed under: Nitrobacter sp. Nb-311A
Lineage: Bacteria; Pseudomonadati; Pseudomonadota; Alphaproteobacteria; Hyphomicrobiales; Nitrobacteraceae
Description: int-alpA RNA
Rfam family: int-alpA RNA
About the family: Acidobacteria (1 example), Planctomycetes (1 example), Proteobacteria. Environment (Lake Washington)
Source: Rfam by way of RNAcentral
GGCAUGGCUAGGGUAGCUCCCGAAAAGCCAGUACCGCACUGGCCUGCCGCGUCGUCAACAUGCGGA